UGGCUUUUUGCAAUUAGGUGGAGAACUACAUACUUCUUUAUGUUUAUUUAAUCAUCUUGGAAAAUAUAUCAUCAUUUUGGAUAUGUAUUGUCAUAUCAAGGAGCAGAGAGUUUGGUGGUUCUUUCGCGUUAAUUUCCUCGGAAUAGAGUUCCGUUGUUUUUAGUGUAUGAUUAUUCAGAAUGCGAGGGACAAAAGAAACCCUGUAAACCAAGCCGGCCAUAGCACAUUAAUAUAUUGUGAA
Molecule: unclassified non-coding RNA, 241 nt
Filed under: Hevea brasiliensis (rubber tree)
Lineage: Eukaryota; Viridiplantae; Streptophyta; Magnoliopsida; Malpighiales; Euphorbiaceae
Source: RNAcentral